GGGGCCUUAGCUCAGUUGGUAGAGCGCCACACUGGCAGUGUGGAGGUCAGCGGUUCGACCCCGCUAGGCUCCACCA
RNAcentral lists this transfer RNA (76 nucleotides) under Planctomycetota bacterium. Its description in RNAcentral is "Planctomycetes bacterium (marine metagenome) tRNA-Ala". It matches the Rfam family "tRNA". From Rfam's summary of the family: Transfer RNA (tRNA) molecules are approximately 80 nucleotides in length. Their secondary structure includes four short double-helical elements and three loops (D, anti-codon, and T loops). The record is from RNAcentral. Lineage: Bacteria; Pseudomonadati; Planctomycetota.